This is a non-coding RNA of Oryza sativa Japonica Group (Japanese rice), 3469 nucleotides long. Lineage: Eukaryota; Viridiplantae; Streptophyta; Magnoliopsida; Poales; Poaceae. The record is from RefSeq and is a predicted model, not a curated record.
AGAUAUUCGAAAUCCAUCCCCCCCCCAACAAAACCCGUCUCCCAUCCAAUCCCCCGAUCUCUCUCUCCCCCCACACAACCCAUCGGCGGUGAUCGCCAUGGCGAACAAGCUGGUCUCGGAGAUGCGGCUACCUCCCCACCUCGCCCACAUCCUCGCCGCGCGCCGCCUCACCACCGCCAAGGACGUGCUGUCGCUGCCGGAGGUGGAGCUCAUGGGCGUCCUCGACGCCGGCAUCCACACCGCCCGCGCCGCCGUCGCCCACGUCAGCGAGAUCGCCUGCCCUCCGUACCAAACGGCGCUUGCGCUCCUCGAGGCCUUCAGGGCAAGAGGAGAUGGGCGGCUGGCCACCACGCUCCGCGGAUUGGAUGAGGCAUUGCAUGGAGGAAUCCCCGCAGGGAAGCUCACUGAGGUCGUUGGGCCCUCGGGGAUUGGCAAGACCCAGUUCUGUCUGAAGCUUGCUUUGCUAGCAACAUUACCAGAAUGCUAUGGAGGCUUAAAUGGUCGAGUUUUGUAUAUUGAUACUGAAUCCAAAUUCUCUUCACGGAGGAUGAUCGAGAUUGGUGAGAAAAGCUUUCCUCAAAUAUUUCGUCAAGAAGGCUUGGCCCAAAAGAUGGCUGGGAGGAUCCUAGUCCUGCGCCCAACAUCAUUAUCUGAAUUUACCAAGAGUUUGGAACAGAUGAAGGUGACUCUUCUUCAGCAUGAUGUGAAGCUACUUGUUGUUGAUAGCAUGGCUGCUCUUAUGUCAUCUGAGAUUGAGAAAAGCGCAACAGGUCUCAGACAACACCCUCUAAGAUGGGCCCUUUCAUUUCUUAAAUCUAUAGCAGAGUUCUCACAGAUUCCUGUUGUUGUUACAAACCAAGUACGCAGCCAAAGUAAUGAUGAUGGCUAUCGUUAUUCAUUUGAAGUUGAGAAGAAAUACGAUAGUAAUAAUGCUGAAGGCUUUGAAUCUCAUCUUGUUGCUGCUCUAGGAAUCCAGUGGGCUCAUGCUGUAACUAUACGUCUAGUCUUUGAGGCUCACUCAGGUCACAGGUACAUCAAGGUAGCUAAAUCCCCUAUGACUCCAGCGGUAGCUUUUCCCUUUACUGUGGAGUCAUCAGGAAUAAUAUUACUUAGUGAUGAGGGCAUUGAUGUGCCAUCUCCUGAAAUAACCUCAAUCCGUUGUCAAGGAGAAAAUGUCCUGGCUCAAUGACCAUUUGAAUGCUACCACAUCUACAGUUAAGGAAAACCAAUUUAAUCUCAGCGCACUCUGCAUCAACUUCAGAAGUUAUGUUGCAUACCAUGUAUAUUUAUUUAGAGAGUAGCUUAAAUUGUUGCAAUAUAAGAACUGAAGAUAUUUCUUCAGUCCCCAGGGAUGGCACAAAUGGCUGAUGAUCAAGCUCAUGCAGGUAAAAUACCAUUUCUUUUUGCAAGAAGGUAAAAUACCAUUUUGUUGUCAGUAGCUGAAGAAAAAUGGCAAAAAUACCAUUAUGUUGAUCAUCAGUUAAUUGGCACAAUUCUGAUAUUGGAGUUACAUACUACAGCCUAAAUAUCUACAAGUCACCUCCUGAAAUGGCUGAAAUUUGCAGGAUUCCAUCCUUGAUGACAUCUGAUAAUGUGGUGUCGAAUUGAGGCAAAAAAUUAUCCUCGAUUUCCUAGAAGAUUGGCGUGUAUUGCAAUCCUUGUACCAUCAGAGAUGCUAACCCACCACCUCACCCCUAGUUGUGCAAGGAGGCCCAACAGCCAAUUUGACCACGGUAUUUGCCAGUACUGCUGCAGCAACGAGGGGAUCGAUCGGACGUAUUCCGGCCGGCCGGCGUCCGGCGCCGCCCGUCGGCGCGUGGCCAUAAAACGCGACGAGGGGGUACGGCGUGGUCCUCUACAUGCACGGUGUUGGGUCGCCAGCCAGCCAGCCUUAUCUUGCUAGCUGUGACGGCGACCACAGUACCUGCCACCCUGGGGGAAUUAAUCUAGAGGGCCAUCGGUGGCGAAGAAGAGCAACUCAUCGGAGAGAAUGAAUACGUACGCUAAUAUGACAAUCAUCAAAUCUUUCAAGAUCCAGGUGACAGAAUCUUAAGCAUUCUAACAUAGUGCCACGUAAAGGAGGUAAAAUUGAAACCUCGGUUGGUCCCUUUUUGCUGCCAACACUGAUGCUAAUGCUUUAAUAAUGACCGUACAAGUGGAUCCUUUUACAGAAGAUCUAGUUGCCCCCUCCCCCAUGUGUUGGUGUAGCGUGUUUAGCAGUGGCGGUAAGUACUCCAGUACACUCACUCUGUCAAAAAAAAAAAAACUAUUUCCCUUUCAGAAAACUUAACCAAUAAAACGAUGUGAUCUUUUAUAUUGUCUAGAUUAGUUGUACUAGAAAGGAUUAGAUUCCCGUAUAAAUUAAGUAUUUUUAGAAUGGAGGAAGUAUUUAUCUAGAUUAAUUUGUCAGAUCGGGUUCUUUUUUAGAGAGAGAGAGGGGGAGGAUAAACCAAAUGUGUAUAUGAGAGGACACACCGGCUCGGCCCCACCUGUCGUACACUAUGACCACAUGCCAGAUUUGAGCCUGUCAUGUGGGCUUCACUCCCCCGGCAUCUAAAUCUACCUCUCAUUUUCGCCUCUUGGAACCCUCCAGGGGCAGGCCAGCAAAAGACUCCAUAUGAUGCAGGUCGCUCUGUGAUUGUGAUAUCUUAGUACUGUCUCCCCAUUUCUGAAUAAGUUCAUUUUUCAUUCAUCACAUGCAUAUACCAAUACAAAGUUAAAAAAUAUUAAAUUACUUCUUAUCAAAUUUCAAUAUAACUAUUCAUCAUUUUAUAAACAUUUAAUAUAAUUAUUUUUUAUUCUCACAAGCUCCGAAGUGACGAUUAUUCUGAAAACGAAUUUAUUUUGAGAUAAAUAGAGAAAACUAAAAAUGAAUUUAAUAUGUAACGGAUGAAGUAGGUUUCCUCUUUAUUUUCUUCUCUCUUUCAACAAAGUUGUAGGAGAAAUACCAGUACUAGUAGUACUAUAUCUGAUGGGAUUAAUUAGUUCUUCGUUGGGUUUAGGAGGCGUUGAUUACUUGUUAGAGCACUCUGUCCUGAUCAAACCUAUCACUGUCUGGCACCGUGCCUGGAGGUUUGCCUGUCGACUUGUGAUUGGCUGCUGGUGGGGACACGUCACCCUUAGAGGGGUUAAUUUCUUGAGGUGACCUGCAGCAGCUGGGGACCGAUAUGGAAUAGAAAAAUGGCAAGAUACCACAUAUGGGAGGUACUCCCACCGUAAAAAAAAAAAAGCUAACCUAAGAUAAUAAUGAAAUAUAAUUUAGAACAAUGAAUCUGGAUAUAAAGGUUAAAACCCGUGAUUCGUUAUUCUAGAUUAUAUUUCAUCCUUAUUUAGAUUGGUUUUUUUUUAGGACUCAGAGGGUAGAGGGUAGAGGGAAGAAAGCACAUGAUUUUAUUUAAGAGAUUUGACACACACACGGACGAUAUUGGUUUGUUCGUUGGAGAGGAAAAAGAGAUACUGUUCCAAUAUU